GAGUCCACCGAGGCUCGAGCGCGCGCGUCCUGCGGAGUGCGUCUGGCGGCCAGCCUGAGGCCGUCCUGUCCUCCCGGCCAAGGUAUCCCAGCCAGGGCUCGGCGAGAGAAGGGGUCGGGCUGGGACUCGGGUUCUUUCGAUUUCGGUGAGAGGGAAGCCACUGGGACCAGGAGGCUUGGAAGGAGGUUUGUCUCCUGGGGCCUGAAGACAGUAGAGGGAGGAAAGUUUUCUGAGAUACUCCACAGCCCCGUUCUUCCAGGAACCCCUAGCUGAAGUGGGCAUUGGGCGAAGAGUAAACUCUUGAAUCUUUCCCUCUGAGCUAGGAGGAUAAGAAGGGUCCCCAACCCUCUGGAAGCCAAUGAGCUUGUAAAGUUAACCUGGUCCGCGAAGCGUCUGAACAGAUCAGCCUGCUCACCUCAGCCUAUCUCUAGGUGCUGGAUUCCAAUCUGAGACAGUUUCUCAAAUUAGCCCUAAAGAGGAGUGAAUACCACAGGGGCUGAAGUCCUCUGGUGCGGAUGAAGUGUGAACAAGGAUCUCUAAAAAUAUUAUUGUAUAUGUCGCCUGCCUCUGCCAACAUCACCCACUACAGGGGAUGUCUAUUGAAUAUCAGGUGCACUGUGAGGAUUAAAUAGGAUCAUGUAAGUAAAAAUCCAAAAACAGCAGAAUGUUAUUUUGAUCUUAAGUAUUCUGUUAGGCUACUACAUGUUUGUGAAGGGGUGGUGUUGGGAGGGGACCCCAGCUCUGUGCACUUAGGCAGAAUGAACGGGAUGUGGGGGGUACACCUUGAGCUUUAGGCUAUAUAUAUUUAUUGUCUAAUAUAUAUAUAAUCUAUAUUAUAUAUAUGUUAUACAUACAUAUACUUUUAUUUUUUUUCUUCUGAGACAGUCUCGCUCUGUCGCCCAGGCUGGAGUGCAGUGGCACUAUCUCGGCUCACUGCAACCUCCGCCUCCCGGGUUCACUCUGGGCCUGGGGCUGUUGAGAGGUUCCUUGCUAAGGGGGUUCUCUCUCCUAAGAGCUCUAGGAAUCCAAGGUGGAAUCAGAGGUGGAAAACAGAAAUGGUUGGGAUAUUCUGAGAAGAGGUCAGAAUGUGGUCAGAGGGGAAAGAACCAGAGGAUUGACCGUACGUCAGGGUUGUUUAGCAUCUUAGAAAUCAUUUAGGGCAGGGCACAGUGGCUCACGCCUGUAAUCCCAGCACUUUGGGAGGCAUAGGUGGGAGGAUCUCUUGAGCCCAGGAGUUCGAGACCAGCCUGGGCAAUACAAUGCGACUCCCAUCUCUACAAAAAAGAAAGAAAGGAAAGAAGAAAGGAAAGAAAAGAAAGAAAAUUAGUUGUGCACACCUGUAGUCCCAGCUACUUGGGAAGUUGAGGUGGGAGGAUUGCUUGAGGCUGGGAGGUUGAGGCUGCAGUGAGCUGUGAUUGCACCACUGUACUCCAGCCUGGAUGACAGAGUGAGACCCUGUCUCAAAAAAAAAAAAUCAUUAUUUAGGGCUGGGAGACAUGGCUCAUGCCUGUAAUCACACCAUUUUGCGGGGCGGGGCAGAGGCUGGAGGACUGCUUGAGCCCAGAAAUUCGAGACCAGCCUGGGCAACAUAGUGAGACCCCAUGUCUUAAAAAAAAAAAAGCCAGUGUGAUAGGUGGCACCUGUAGUCUCAGCUAAGCUACUCAGGAGGCUGAAGCGGGAGGGUCACUUGAGCCGAAGAGGUCGAGGCUGCAGUGAGCCAUGAUCCUGCACCUGGUGACAGAGGUAGACCCUGUCUUAAUAAUAAUCCAGCCUGGCCAAUAUGGUCAGACUCCGUCUCUACUAAUAACACAAAAAAUUAGCCAGCCAUGGUGGUGCUUGCCAGUAAUUCCAGCUGCUUGGGAGGCUGAGGCACUAGAAUCACUUGAACCCAGGAGACGGAGGUGCAGUGAGCCGUGAUCGUGCCACUGAACUCCAGCCUGGGUGGCUGAGUGACACUCCGUCUCAAAUAAUAAUAAUAAUAAUGGUACCUACCUCAUGAAGUUGUGAGAUUAAACAUGAAGUUGUAAGGUUUAAGCUAUAUAUAUUUAUUGCCUAAUAUAUAUAAAAUAUAUAUGUGUUAUAUAUAUAUAAUUUUAUUUGUUUUUUUCUUCUGAGAUGGAGUCUUGCUCUGUUGCCCAGGCUGAAGUGCAGUAGCAUGAUCUCGGCUCACUGCAACGUCCGCCUCCCAGGUUCAAGCAAUUCUCCUGUCUCAGCCUCCUGAGUAGUUAGGACUACAGGUGUGUGCCACCACCCCCAGCCAAUUUUUGUAGUUUGUUUUUUUUUCUUUUUUUUUGGAGACAGGGUCUAGCUCUGUCUCCCAGGCUGGAAUACAGUGGCACAAUCACAGCUUACUGCAGCCUCAAAACUCCUGG
Molecule: long non-coding RNA, 2372 nt
Filed under: Homo sapiens (human)
Lineage: Eukaryota; Metazoa; Chordata; Mammalia; Primates; Hominidae
Description: HSALNT0388046
Source: RNAcentral